GUGCUUGCUUCGGCAGCACAUAAACUAAAAUUGGAACGAUACAGAGAAGAUUAGCAUGGCCCCUGCACAAGGGUGACACGCAAAUUCGUGAAGUGUUCCAUAUUUUC
This 107-nucleotide small nuclear RNA is filed under the name Sorex araneus (European shrew). Lineage: Eukaryota; Metazoa; Chordata; Mammalia; Eulipotyphla; Soricidae. The record is from RNAcentral.